GACAGGCGUAAGCCUGCUGCGGGGAGAUCAUGUGCACGUGGCCGUCGAUGCCGGCUGCCGUCAGGAUCAGGUGCUCGCCCGAUAUCGCGUCGGUUGCGGUGCUGGUCACCAGAUCGGGAUGCACGCCGUGCAUGAUAUUGGGAUUUCCCGCCUUGCCGAUACCGGCGAUUUUUCCGUCCUUGACACCCACGUCGGCCUUCACGACGCCCAGAUUGGCGUCGAUGAUCGUCACGUUGGUAAUCACGAGGUCGAGCGCCCCCUCCUCCGAAGUCAUCGUAUUGGCCAGCCCCAUGCCGUC
Molecule: non-coding RNA, 298 nt
Organism: Alistipes finegoldii CAG:68
Lineage: Bacteria; Pseudomonadati; Bacteroidota; Bacteroidia; Bacteroidales; Rikenellaceae
Source: Rfam